Molecule: transfer RNA, 74 nt
Filed under: Pelecanus crispus (Dalmatian pelican)
Lineage: Eukaryota; Metazoa; Chordata; Aves; Pelecaniformes; Pelecanidae
Rfam family: tRNA
About the family: Transfer RNA (tRNA) molecules are approximately 80 nucleotides in length. Their secondary structure includes four short double-helical elements and three loops (D, anti-codon, and T loops).
Source: Rfam by way of RNAcentral
GCCGGGUUAGCUCAGCUGGUUAGAGCAUGGUGCUAAUAACGCCAGGUUCACAGGUUCAAUCCCUGCUUUCUGCA